Long non-coding RNA from Oenanthe melanoleuca, 2332 nucleotides. RefSeq lists it as uncharacterized. The transcript is spliced from 6 exons. The record is from RefSeq and is a predicted model, not a curated record. NCBI's taxonomy places the organism in Eukaryota, Metazoa, Chordata, Aves, Passeriformes, Muscicapidae.
UUUCAGAGAUUAUCGAAAACAAUUCAUUGUCUGCUUUCACAAAAAAUCUUUCUGAAAAUUUGAGAGCUGGUGUCAAACCUGCUCCUAGUUUUCCCCUCCUGGAUUAAACUUUACAAGCCCAGGCUUUGCAAAGUCUUAUGCUAGAAAAGUUUUUAAAGUUCAUUUUUAUUUCAGGUUCUGGGACUUUCUCCAGCUGGUUCAUGUAUUGUAUUGACAUGAGAUAACCUGCAGUGGUCACAGGGAUCCAGGUAUUUGUGUUUCUUCGUAUUGAACUGUGCCUACAUGACAUCAUGGAAGGAUAAAUUCAGCAUUUCCCACAACCCAGAUCUAAUAGAGAAAGAGCUGGAGAAUGCAGUGAUGAAACUUCCCUUAAUAAGUUUUAUAAGCAGAGAUAUUCAAAAAUUAUCAGAGCCAACUGAAAGUAACUGCUUAGGAGUUUUGGAUACAUUUUGCAGAAAGCUGGAGAGCUGAGAUCCAGAAUUCCCAUCUCUACAGCACAGCUUGAUUGCCUGGCAACACAAACCUGAGGUGCUGUGAAGAGCAGGUCCUCAUUUGUGGGUUUAGCACUUUGGUGGGACUUUGAUGUUGGCUGCUUUGGCUGAGAGACCUUUGGAGGUUGUAUGCACAUAAUGACCAGAAUUUGAGACACCUGGAGAAUUUUUAUGGAAUUUGAACCAAGCAAAGGUGGAAGGAAGUGGGAAGAAUACCACCUGGGAAACUUUAAGGGUUGAGAGACCACAGACUUCCCAGAUGAAUACAAAACCUCAAGUUGCAUUCAUGAACUGUUGUAAGCAUUGCCUGAGGGUCAGGAACACAUCAAACCAAGGUUUUAUUCCAGUGGUUUUGAGGUUUGAGGUGAGCCUUGUGCUGCUCUGGUAGCAUCCUGAGGGGUGGAGUGUGGGCAAACUGUGAGCAGGAUUUAUUUGCUCCAACUGCUUUAUCCUGAACAGGGGAAUGAUUAUAAGGCAGCUUUACAGUAAGGAUAAAUGUUUUUCUGUCUUUUAAAUGCAUAUGUCAAUGGUAUAUUUGUUGUUGCUAGCACUAAAGUCUAGAGAAUAAUAAGAAAAGAAGGACAAUAUUGUAUUAUGGGUUUCUAUUUCCCACUGAUCUGUUAGAAAUAAAAUGCCAUUAAUUAUUUACAUAGCAAACAAAGAGUUGUAAAUGCUUAGAGGGAAAUGAGUUAAUUCACCACUCACAUAAUUUAAACUCUGUUAUAUAGUAGCUAAUUUGAGACCACCCAUUUUUAAAAUUGUGGUUUAGAGAGAUUAAAAAAAAAUCUUAAGAAAUUUAAUUUAAUCAACCCAAUAAUUAUUCUGGUUUGGCUCUCAAAUUUAUUUUUGUAUAAGAACUCUCACUCAUAACUGCCAGCUAUUAAAAAUAAUUUACUUAAAAAAAUCAUAGAAGGGAAAGUAAAUACCUAUAAGUAAUUGGUCUCUGUAAUAGAUUUUUCCCUAUAGAAGACAAACCACCCAAGUAUAUUAUUUGUAUUGUAGAAAAAGAAAUCUAUAUUUAAUUGAUACAGUGUUUCAAAUACACCAGCAAGAAAAAUUACAAAUAGAGAAGCUAUUUCAUUCACCUAUGUAUUUAUUUGCUUUUUAUACAACCUUCAUAUGUAUCUUCUGCCCCAGAAACUACAUGGAGGAGGUAGAAAAUUUUCCAAGCAGGAAAAGAAAUUUAGUUGAAUUUUUUUUUCCUUGGAAUUAAUAAAAGAAAAAAAAAAAUCUAGUGAAAAUAUAAAAAUAUGUGUUUAGCUGGUUCAGUUUCAUGUGGAAAUGUAAAAGUACUUCUUGUUUCAAAAAUUGCAGAGUGACUUUAGACUAGAGAAACACUGUGGUGGAUAUGUCCUAUUAGCAUGUCUAUUUUACUUCUGGGAUGAGAAGACUAAGUUAUCUUAUUGCUGCAUAUUUCUCCUGUGAGUGAUAAAUACAUUCAAAUCUCUUUCUUUAGCUCUUCUUCCUAAUUGGUUGCCCCAGGUUUUCCUUGUUCUGCUGAGAUUUUGAUUUCUUUUAAAUCUAACAAAUAUGUUGAUAUACUCAAAUGAAAGGUUUUAUGUAAAGGAAAAAGAUUUUUGCUCUGAAGACAUUAUUAGGAUGAAAAGGAGCUCUUUCCUUUUUGAUAAUCUCUUCCUUCCUUCCUGAAUACAGUUUUUAUGGCAUCCCAAAUAGGCCUCAAGGUCACAGUGUGAAUAAUCCAAGACUGGGACUUUGAACUGGUUUUGAAAACUAAGAAGCUCGGUAGCUUUUUAACACCUCCUUAUUUUUCCACAUGCCCCAGCACAUCUCAGCUUUGGAGCUAUGCAGUAAAGAACACUCCCAAUGAACUUUGGAUCUCA